GACGAACGCUGGCGGCGUGCCUAAUACAUGCAAGUAGAACGCUGAAGGAGGAGCUUGCUUCUCUGGAUGAGUUGCGAACGGGUGAGUAACGCGUAGGUAACCUGCCUGGUAGCGGGGGAUAACUAUUGGAAACGAUAGCUAAUACCGCAUAAGAGUAGAUGUUGCAUGACAUUUGCUUGAAAGGUGCAAUUGCAUCACUACCAGAUGGACCUGCGUUGUAUUAGCUAGUUGGUGGGGUAACGGCUCACCAAGGCGACGAUACAUAGCCGACCUGAGAGGGUGAUCGGCCACACUGGGACUGAGACACGGCCCAGACUCCUACGGGAGGCAGCAGUAGGGAAUCUUCGGCAAUGGACGGAAGUCUGACCGAGCAACGCCGCGUGAGUGAAGAAGGUUUUCGGAUCGUAAAGCUCUGUUGUAAGAGAAGAACGAGUGUGAGAGUGGAAAGUUCACACUGUGACGGUAUCUUACCAGAAAGGGACGGCUAACUACGUG
Molecule: ribosomal RNA, 495 nt
Filed under: uncultured bacterium
Lineage: Bacteria
Description: partial 16S ribosomal RNA
Rfam family: Bacterial small subunit ribosomal RNA
Source: RNAcentral